UACGGGAGGCAGCCAGUAGGGAAUCUUCCGCAAUGGACGAAAGUCUGACGGAGCAACGCCGCGUGAGUGAUGAAGGUUUUCGGAUCGUAAAACUCUGUUAUUAGGGAAGAACAAAUGUGUAAGUAACUGUGCACAUCUGACGGACCUAUCAGAAGCCNCGCA
RNAcentral lists this ribosomal RNA (162 nucleotides) under uncultured Staphylococcus sp. RNAcentral describes it as "partial 16S ribosomal RNA". It matches the Rfam family "Bacterial small subunit ribosomal RNA", at positions 340 to 497 of the family's 1533-position model. Lineage: Bacteria; Bacillati; Bacillota; Bacilli; Caryophanales; Staphylococcaceae. The record is from RNAcentral.